Molecule: ribosomal RNA, 351 nt
Filed under: uncultured bacterium
Lineage: Bacteria
Description: bacterial SSU rRNA
Rfam family: Bacterial small subunit ribosomal RNA
Source: RNAcentral
AGAGUUUGAUCAUGGCUCAGGAUGAACGCUAGCUACAGGCUUAACACAUGCAAGUCGAGGGGAAACGACAUCGAAAGCUUGCUUUUGAUGGGCGUCGACCGGCGCACGGGUGAGUAACGCGUAUCCAACCUGCCCACCACUUGGGGAUAACCUUGCGAAAGUAAGACUAAUACCCAAUGACGUCUCUAGAAGACAUCUGAAGGAGAUUAGAGAUUUAUCGGUGAUGGAUGGGGAUGCGUCUGAUUAGCUUGUUGGCGGGGUAACGCCACCAAGGCGACGAUCAGUAGGGGUUCUGAGAGGAACGGUCCCCCACAUUGGAACUGAGACACGGUCCAAACUCAUACGGGAGCA